GAUCCUGGCUCAGGAUGAACGCUAGCGGCAGGCUUAACACAUGCAAGUCGAGGGGUAGAGUUCUUCGGGACUUGAGACCGGCGCACGGGUGCGUAACGCGUAUGCAAUCUACCUUGUACAGGGGAAUAGCCCAGAGAAAUUUGGAUUAAUGCCCCAUAGUAUAUAACCUUCGCAUGUUGGUUAUAUUAAAGUUCCAACGGUACAAGAUGAGCAUGCGUCCCAUUAGUUAGUUGGUAAGGUAACGGCUUACCAAGACGAUGAUGGGUAGGGGUCCUGAGAGGGAGAUCCCCCACACUGGUACUGAGACACGGACCAGACUCCUACGGGAGGCAGCAGUGAGGAAUAUUGGUCAAUGGUCGCAAGACUGAACCAGCCAUGCCGCGUGCAGGAAGACGGUCCUAUGGAUUGUAAACUGCUUUUAUACAGGAAGAAACCCUCCCACGUGUGGGAGCUUGACGGUACUGUAGGAAUAAGGAUCGGCUAACUCCGUG
RNAcentral lists this ribosomal RNA (491 nucleotides) under uncultured bacterium. Its description in RNAcentral is "bacterial SSU rRNA". It matches the Rfam family "Bacterial small subunit ribosomal RNA", at positions 15 to 507 of the family's 1533-position model. The record is from RNAcentral.